GUGACAUAACCAGUGUUUAAACAUGGAUUAAAAAAUAGUGUGUGUACUUUUAUGUAUGUAAGUUAUACUUACAGUAGACGCCCUCUUAACCGACCGACCCUACACCUUUUUGGAUGAUACUAUUUUUAGAUUAGAGGUCAUACAAGUUUCAUAAUUUGUCUUGUGAGUGAUAUUGUUAAUUACAUAUGUAUAUACACAUCGACAUUCGUUUCACUUUAUAUUUUGACUUAAUUUGUUUGAAAAUGAAUCGUGACCCAUGGGAAAAGUUAUAGCGGAUGGACUAUAUGUACAUACUACUUUUUUGUUUAUAGAUCAUAAAAUAUUUAUAUUUUUAAUAGAGUUACAUAUGUAAUGUCUUUCUGAGGGUGGUUUUAAAGAUUUUCGGUUUAACCAACUUUUUGAUUAUCCGACCUAUGGGCAGCUCCCGUCAUGGUCGGUUAAGAGAGCGUCUACUGUAUAUAUGAUUUCAACUAUUUCAAGGAAAUAAAUAGAUUCAAAACAAA
Diabrotica virgifera virgifera (western corn rootworm) is the source of this 503-nucleotide long non-coding RNA. RefSeq lists it as uncharacterized. The record is from RefSeq and is a predicted model, not a curated record. The transcript is spliced from 2 exons. NCBI's taxonomy places the organism in Eukaryota, Metazoa, Arthropoda, Insecta, Coleoptera, Chrysomelidae.